This 1531-nucleotide ribosomal RNA is filed under the name Lactiplantibacillus pentosus. RNAcentral describes it as "partial 16S ribosomal RNA". It matches the Rfam family "Bacterial small subunit ribosomal RNA". The record is from RNAcentral. Lineage: Bacteria; Bacillati; Bacillota; Bacilli; Lactobacillales; Lactobacillaceae.
GAGUUUGAUCCUGGCUCAGGACGAACGCUGGCGGCGUGCCUAAUACAUGCAAGUCGAACGAACUCUGGUAUUGAUUGGUGCUUGCAUCAUGAUUUACAUUUGAGUGAGUGGCGAACUGGUGAGUAACACGUGGGAGACCUGCCCAGAAGCGGGGGAUAACACCUGGAAACAGAUGCUAAUACCGCAUAACAACUUGGACCGCAUGGUCCGAGUUUGAAAGAUGGCUUCGGCUAUCACUUUUGGAUGGUCCCGCGGCGUAUUAGCUAGAUGGUGGGGUAACGGCUCACCAUGGCAAUGAUACGUAGCCGACCUGAGAGGGUAAUCGGCCACAUUGGGACUGAGACACGGCCCAAACUCCUACGGGAGGCAGCAGUAGGGAAUCUUCCACAAUGGACGAAAGUCUGAUGGAGCAACGCCGCGUGAGUGAAGAAGGGUUUCGGCUCGUAAAACUCUGUUGUUAAAGAAGAACAUAUCUGAGAGUAACUGUUCAGGUAUUGACGGUAUUUAACCAGAAAGCCACGGCUAACUACGUGCCAGCAGCCGCGGUAAUACGUAGGUGGCAAGCGUUGUCCGGAUUUAUUGGGCGUAAAGCGAGCGCAGGCGGUUUUUUAAGUCUGAUGUGAAAGCCUUCGGCUCAACCGAAGAAGUGCAUCGGAAACUGGGAAACUUGAGUGCAGAAGAGGACAGUGGAACUCCAUGUGUAGCGGUGAAAUGCGUAGAUAUAUGGAAGAACACCAGUGGCGCAGGCGGCUGUCUGGUCUGUAACUGACGCUGAUGCUCGAAAGUAUGGGUAGCAAACAGGAUUAGAUACCCUGGUAGUCCAUACCGUAAACGAUGAAUGCUAAGUGUUGGAGGGUUUCCGCCCUUCAGUGCUGCAGCUAACGCAUUAAGCAUUCCGCCUGGGGAGUACGGCCGCAAGGCUGAAACUCAAAGGAAUUGACGGGGGCCCGCACAAGCGGUGGAGCAUGUGGUUUAAUUCGAAGCUACGCGAAGAACCUUACCAGGUCUUGACAUACUAUGCAAAUCUAAGAGAUUAGACGUUCCCUUCGGGGACAUGGAUACAGGUGGUGCAUGGUUGUCGUCAGCUCGUGUCGUGAGAUGUUGGGUUAAGUCCCGCAACGAGCGCAACCCUUAUUAUCAGUUGCCAGCAUUAAGUUGGGCACUCUGGUGAGACUGCCGGUGACAAACCGGAGGAAGGUGGGGAUGACGUCAAAUCAUCAUGCCCCUUAUGACCUGGGCUACACACGUGCUACAAUGGAUGGUACAACGAGUUGCGAACUCGCGAGAGUAAGCUAAUCUCUUAAAGCCAUUCUCAGUUCGGAUUGUAGGCUGCAACUCGCCUACAUGAAGUCGGAAUCGCUAGUAAUCGCGGAUCAGCAUGCCGCGGUGAAUACGUUCCCGGGCCUUGUACACACCGCCCGUCACACCAUGAGAGUUUGUAACACCCAAAGUCGGUGGGGUAACCUUUUAGGAACCAGCCGCCUAAGGUGGGACAGAUGAUUAGGGUGAAGUCGUAACAAGGUAGCCGUAG